Molecule: ribosomal RNA, 260 nt
Filed under: uncultured bacterium
Lineage: Bacteria
Description: partial 16S ribosomal RNA
Rfam family: Bacterial small subunit ribosomal RNA
Source: RNAcentral
GUCCACGCCCUAAACUAUGAUCACUCGAUGUUGGCGAUACACUGUCAGCGUCUAAGGGAAACCAUUAAGUGAUCCACCUGGGGAGUACGGUCGCAAGACUGAAACUCAAAGGAAUUGACGGGGGCCCCGCACAAGCGGAGGAGCAUGUGGUUUAAUUCGAUGAUACGCGAGGAACCUUACCUGGGCUUGAAAGUUAGUGAAUUCCCCCUGAAAGGGGGGAGGCCGAAAGGACACGAAACUAGGUGCUGCAUGGCUGUCGU